GAUGAACGCUAGCGGCAGGCCUAAUACAUGCAAGUCGAACGGUUGUAGUGAUACAAUAGUGGCGCACGGGUGCGUAACACGUAUGCAACCUACCUUAUAGACGGGGAUAGCCUUUGGAAACGGAGAUUAAUACCCGAUAGUAACCUUGAUUGGCAUCAAUUAAUGUUUAAAGAUUUAUCGCUAUAAGCUGGGCAUGCGUCCAAUUAGUUAGUUGGUUAGGUAAUGGCUGACCAAGACGAUGAUUGGUAGGGGAACUGAAAGGUUAAUCCCCCACACUGGCACUGAGAUACGGGCCAGACUCCUACGGGAGGCAGCAGUAGGGAAUAUUGGGCAAUGGAGGCAACUCUGACCCAGCCAUGCCGCGUGCAGGAUGAAGGCGUUAUGCGUUGUAAACUGCUUUUAUAUAGGAAGAAAAUAGACCUUGCGAGGGUAAGUUGACGGUACUACAUGAAUAAACACCGGCUAACUCCGUGCCAGCAGCCGCGGUAAUACGGGAGGGUGCAAAGCUUUGNCCGGAUUUUAUUGGGGUUUAAAAGGGUGCGUAAGCGGUUU
This 552-nucleotide ribosomal RNA is filed under the name uncultured bacterium. RNAcentral's name for it is "bacterial SSU rRNA". It matches the Rfam family "Bacterial small subunit ribosomal RNA", at positions 28 to 581 of the family's 1533-position model. The record is from RNAcentral.